Non-coding RNA from Camellia sinensis, 1311 nucleotides. NCBI's taxonomy places the organism in Eukaryota, Viridiplantae, Streptophyta, Magnoliopsida, Ericales, Theaceae. The record is from RefSeq and is a predicted model, not a curated record.
GAAAGAAUUGAUGCAGCUCAAUGGCACAACCAAGUCUUUGGUAGCAAACCAUCUUGCUGAGUCCAUAGCAAGAUCCAUGACAAUAAGAGCUUUUGAGGAGGAAGACCGGUUCUUUGUCAAGAAUCUUGACCUCAUUGAUGUAAAUGCUACUCCAUUUUUUCACAGUUUUGCAGCAAAUGAGUGGUUGAUCCAGCAGCUCGAAACACUUACUGCAGUUGUUCUCUCCUCAUCAGUGCAUGGGUUUGCUCCCUUCGGGAACUUUCAGCUCUGGAUUUAUUGGAAUGGCCUUGUCCUAUGGUCUCUUAUUGAACAUGUCCUUUGUUAUGUCCAUUCAAAACCAAUGCACUCUAGCAAAUUACAUAAUUUCUGUGGAAAGGCUCAACCAAUAUAUGCACAUACCAAGUGAAGCUCCAGAAAUGAUAGAAGAGAACUGACCCCUUGUAAAUUGGCUGACUAGGGGUAAAGUGGAGAUUCGGGUAAAUUUUUUGUGCAUUCGCAUUUAAACUGACAAAGGAUAGUAGCACACUGACUGAGAAAUAUAUACAUGAUGUCAAAACUGAUCAGAUAUAAGCCUGAUGCACCACUUGUUCUUCGUGGGAUAAGUUGUUCAUUUGAAGGAGGACACAAAAUUGAUAUUGUUGGAAGAACUGGCUGUGGGAAGACGACUCUGAUAGGAACUUGUUCAGGAUGAAGAAGAUAUAAUUAAAUUCUGUAAAGAAACUGGGUUACCUGUAGCACUGGAUGAAACCAUUGAAAAUGUCUAAGAAAAUUCUCUUGGAAUGCUGGCAAAGUUUACUCACUCAGGAGUAGUUGCUGUCGUCAUCAAACCAAGUGUUGUUGGGGGUUUCGAAAAUGCAGCAUUGAUUGCAAGAUGGGCUCAGCAGUAGGGGAAGAUGAGUGUUGUUAGGGCUACAUUUGAGAGUAGCCUAGGUUUGUCAGCUUAUGUCCAGUUCUCAUAUUAUCUUGAGCUGCAAAAGGCAGGUAUAUGUAUGGCAAUGAACAAGGAACCUUCCCCUUCUAUAGCACAUGGUCUUGGAAAUUACGGCUGGCUUAAAGAAGAUAUAACUUCUGAACCUCUGAAUAUUUGUCGUAAUCCAUGCAGUGGCUUCAUAGAAGCAUCUGUUGAUGAUGCUGGCUGUCUCUUGGGGAACUUUCAAGUCGACAACAAGGUCAUCCUUUGAAAUUUUACUUGGGAAGAAGUUCAUAAAUACCAGUUAACAGUUAAUUCAUAUGGUUUCUCUUUUUUCAUCAAUGUACAUCAGAUUGGAUCAAGCAAUGAAGUAAGCACUGGAAUUUUAAUUUUUAUGUUAA